GCUGUCAGACUAGGCAUACACGCAUUCCACUAGCCAGUCGCUGGUUUCUUAAUACUGACGGACACACAAUCUAAACCAAUCAAAGACUGCAAUCCCAACGCUCCCGACCAAUCAGAGGCGUUUUAAUGGGAGAAGGCGGGAGUAAACUGUAAGAGGGUUCUUGAGAAGGAACGCAGCGGGCCGGUUGAUGCUGUUGUUCUAGCUAAGGACACAAUUUGAUAUUUAUUUAUCUUUCACCCCGUGAUCUAUUCGGUGUAACGAUGGGCUCUUUCGCGCUGCCGAUGAUCUGUUUCACCACGUUAUGGGCGCUCGUUGGUAUCGUAGCACCCUUUUUCGUGCCCAAAGGACCAAACCGAGGGUAGGUGUCCUACCUACCGUAAUCCAUGCAAAUGCAUAAAAGAAGCGAAAAAUUGUGUAUAAUGGUAAUCUGGGUUGUCAUCACUAGUUUGAUCUUGACAGCUGUUUGUUGCUGGUUAUUCUGGCUGAUAGCGAUCCUAGCCCAGGCCAACCCUCUGUUUGGACCUCAGCUGAAGAACGAGACUAUCUGGUACCUCCGCUACUUCUGGGAGUAACACCAGGGUUGGGUUCUCUUUGAUGCUCCGUUGAUCACAUAUCUUCAUUCCUUUCAUCCAUCCUGGACUGGAUUCCUGAACCCGUCUAUUCCCUCCUCUUUACAUCUCCGGCUACAUUCCUCCAUCCCUCCAUCCCAAUGUCUUUCUUACGUCACUGCAAUGUUGUCAGAAUAUUUUUGCAUCGCCAUCUGAACCUGCAGCAGUCAAGUCAGAUGGGAGAGAAUCUGCACUGUCCAAUUUACAGUAGCUAUUACAGUGAAAAAAUGCCAUGCUAUUGUUUGAGGAGAGUGCACAGUUAUGAACUUGAAAAGUUAUUAAUAAACCAAUUAGGCACAUUUGGGCAGUCUUGAUACAAAAUGUUGAACAGGAACGCAAUGGUUCAUUGGAUCAGUCUAAAAAUGUGCACAUACACUGCUGCCAUCUAGUGGCCAAUAUCUAAAUUGUGCCUGGGCUGGAAUAAUACAUUUUGGCCUUUCUCGUGCAUUUCAAAGAUGAUGGUAAAGAAAAUACAAAAAAACGCAUUGUUUUUUUCUUUGUAUUAUCUUUUACCAGAUCUAAUGUGUUAUAUUCUCCUACAUUCAUUUCACAUUUCCACAAACUUCAAAGUGUUUCCUUUCAAAUGGUAUCAAGAAUAUACAUAUCCUUGCAUCAGGUCCUGAGCUACAGGCAGAUAGAUUUGGGUAUGUCAUUUUAGGCGAAAAUUGAAAAAAAGGGUCCGAUCCUUAAGAGGAUUUAUUAAACAAUCAUGUUCUGUUGGGAUCAAAUCUGUGACAAUAUAGAUAAGUGAUGUAUAAUAAUCCUUAGACAGAAAAGUAUAUGACACUAUAUAUGUAAGGAUUAUAUGAAACGUAUAUCUAGGUCAUCAUGCUGCUGAUGGUCCAACGUGUUGUAGAAUGCAUGCACAAUUCUAUUUAUUGGAUAGCAGGUAUGAAAGUAAUAUGAAAUAUCAAAUGAUAUAAUAUAAUUGUAUACGUUACAUAUAAUCCUUACAUGUGAGAAAUGUUCUAUUUUUGAGCAAAACAAUGUAUUUGUUUUGAUAAUGCACUGGAAGGCAUAGCUCACGCUGAUAAACUCGAUAUUACCAGGUAGCACAUAGAUGUCACUUGUGUCUCUAGCUCCAGUUAAAACGUGUAAUCUUGGAGGUUUACUUGACCUGUUGUUGUUAUUGUUUACAUUUCCUGUACAUGUUGUUGUUAUUAUUAUUAUUAUCAUCAUAAGAAAGUCUUAAUUGAAGUUUAGUAUUUAUUUUUACUGAGGUCCUGGCUGUUACAUAAGUUGACUGUUAUGUUAUGUGGAGUCAGUGUCUGUAUUAUGUUACUUUGAGGAUUAUUGUUGAGUCAUUCUGUGUGUAAAUACUAGUACAUUACCAGGAGUGGUUGGCUGGCCGACGGCCAUGAGAAACUACACUCGAGAGCCCCACUCCAUUUUAAGCGGCUUUUAAAAUCUCAACCACAGGACAACUCCUUACUCUAUCCUCUCUCCUUUCCCAUCAUCGCUCUCCAGGAUCGUUAUGGUCCUCCUAGGGUUGCAAAAUUCCAGUAACUUUCCCCAAAUUCCCUGGUCAGAAAUCCUGGUUGGAGGAUACCCAGGUUUCCUACGCAUUCCCUUCUAAUUCCAAGAAUAUCCCUACUGGGAUUUCUGGAAACCUGGGAAUUUGGGGAAAUUUCCUAGAAUUCUUCAACCCUAGGUCCUCCUAGUUACCAUGGUGAUCAUGAUCACAAUAUCAGCCAGUGUUUGUCGUCGACCACAAUACAACUAGUCUUGCUGCAGGGACAGGGUUGGAGGAGUCAAUUCCAAUUCAACAAUUAACUCCCAUCAAUUCAGGAAUUGAAUGGAAAUUGCCCUAUAAAAUGAACUGAAAAAAAUCAUAAUUCUAAAUCGGAACAUUUCCAUUCGUAAAUAAACUUCAGUUGAACUUGAAUUGACCCCAAACCCUGCAAGUGCUUGCUAUCAACCUCUGCUCCUUCUUGUGUAAACGAUGUGUGAUGCUUUCUGUAGGAAGGCACCCCAGCUCCAGCCAGCCACAACAACCUUCCCUGCCCUCCCUCCACCCCCACCCAGAGAGAAGCCAUCUUAGCCAUCAUGCCAGUCUUGUUGGUGCCAUCAUGCCAACUCCUUGUCAUUCACUGUCAUACUAAACAUGUUUGGCUUGACAAUCACACCAAUGUAGUUGGCAAGAUUGCACAAACACAUCUGGGACGAGGCUAGGGCCUCCUAUCUCUGAGACAGCUUGUUCCUCAGCUCAGCCAAAAAGUCAAGAAAGAUACAUCAAUAUACAGCUACUUUUGAGAAAGACCAAAUGAUGUUGUGUUUUCCUUUAAGCCUUGUUGAUAGUUGUGGUGGCGGUUUACAGAGGGAUCAAAAGUGAUAGAUCAAGGCUACGUCCCAAAUGGCAACCUAUUGCCUAUUCUCUACAGCGCACUCCUUUUAAUCAGUGCCCAUUGGGCUCUGGUCAAAAGUAGUGCACUAUGUAGGGAAUAGGGGGUAAUUUAGGACACCCCCUGAAGUAGACAUGAUUCAGCCCAGGGCUGACAUGAAUAGAUCCGUUUACAUGAGAGAAAGCUGUUCUAUGUAUUCCAGCUAUGUAGAUAUGUGGAAGCCUAGGUCCAUUAUUACGAACACUAGGUUACAACGUGCACAACAGCUUGUCCAUUGUGGUCACCAUGGAAACAUUGAGCGUAUAGAUGUGUGUGUUUUUGACACUGGAAAAAGACUUGUCUGACUCAGGCCUUGUGUAAGUGUGAUCUAAUGUGUAGGUGUAUACAGUGACAUUGUCCAUGUGAAUCCUUUAGUAAAAACCCUAUUUCAAUGUCUGCUACACUGUGCCCUGUCUCCUUCUGAAUCCUCCUCAGCCUGCACCUGAUACUUGUCUCUAUCGUACACACACACACACACACCUGAUAUUAUGAGC
Molecule: long non-coding RNA, 3483 nt
Filed under: Salmo salar (Atlantic salmon)
Lineage: Eukaryota; Metazoa; Chordata; Actinopteri; Salmoniformes; Salmonidae
Description: lncRNA (ENSSSAG00000116948.1)
Source: RNAcentral